GAACUAUAUACAGUCUAAUGCACAGUGAUUAAACAAUAAUAUAAUAAUGAUCAGAAUUAUACUUUGAUACAUUGCUUUCAUGUUUGCACAUGUAAAACUGAAAUCUCUCUCUUCAGCUUUGCUUUGCAACCUAGAUGAGCAGUUUGGCAUCUGGACCUUUCACAACAAUAUCCUGCCAUGUCGUCUCAUAUCCUACACCCUACUGCCAUUCACUCUGCCUGCUUCAACUGUCAUCUCAUUCAUCUAUAGAUUUUUGUGCUGGGUGAAGAAAAUCCCCCACCAGGCUCUGAAUGCAGGCAGGGAAUUCAAACAGGAAGUAAUCGCACAUCUGCGGUUAGUCUUUGCGCACUUGAGAGGACUUAUGCCGAACAGAUUCCUGCUUUCGCAAAUUCUACCUUUGGUCCCCAUGCUUUCUCUGUUUCUUGCACCCUGGUCCUGUUUCCCAUCUCUUCCUUCUACUUUGCUUCCCUGUUUCUCUUUUCCUUUACUUUCUCUUGCUUUGCGUUUCCUGCCACGCCGUCUCUCCACUUCAACCUCAAAGAAGCAGCCCGAGCGCAGGAGCCAGACUCAGACUCUCUGGUCUAGACGACGAUCUCUCCUCUGCUUCCAGCUCACCGGAUCCAGCAGUUUCUGCAAAAAGACAGAUAGCAUCCUUACAGAUGCAGAGGCACAAUCUUCAGCCUUCCUCUUGCAGCUCAACGUAGAGUUGGACAGCCAUCCUGAACCCCUACAGCAGGGCUGUCCAAACUCGGUCCUGGAGGGCCGGUGUCCUGCAGAGUUUAGCUCCAACCCUAAUUAAACACACCUGAACCAGCUAAUCAAGCUCUUACUAGGCAUACUAGAAACUUCCAGUCAGGUGUGUUGAGGCAAGUUGGAGCUAAUCUCUGCAGGACACCGGCCCUCCAGGACCGAGUUUGGACAGCCCUGCACUAGAUUGUGAGGGAAGUUUAUUACUAAACACAGAAGUAGAUGAGAAUCUCUCGUCUCCUUUUAUUUCUUACAUGGAUGUACAAGAGGAAGACUGAAUGACUGUGUUAUAUUGCAGACAAACGUCUCUGUACUGUAGAAUAGUAGAAUAUUUGGGCAAUACUCUGAAUAUGGCAAUGUAUACUGUACAUAUCAGUGUUGUUGUAAUAAUUACUUGAAAAUUGAAAUUGAGCUGAAAUAAAAUAUAAAUAUUAAAAAUGAGAAAUGUUGCUUUGGGAAUGAACUGAAAAUCAGUUGAAGCAU
This 1230-nucleotide long non-coding RNA is filed under the name Sinocyclocheilus anshuiensis. Its description in RNAcentral is "lncRNA (ENSSANG00000036535.1)". The record is from RNAcentral. Lineage: Eukaryota; Metazoa; Chordata; Actinopteri; Cypriniformes; Cyprinidae.